UAACGGGAUUAGAUACCCUGGUAGUCCACGCCGUAAACGAUGUCGACUUGGAGGUUGUUCCCUUGAGGAGUGGCUUCCGGAGCUAACGCGUUAAGUCGACCGCCUGGGGAGUACGGCCGCAAGGUUAAAACUCAAAUGAAUUGACGGGGGCCCGCACAAGCGGUGGAGCAUGUGGUUUAAUUCGAUGCAACGCGAAGAACCUUACCUACUCUUGACAUCCACGGAAUUCGGCAGAGAUGCCUUAGUGCCUUCGGGAGCCGUGAGACAGGUGCUGCAUGGCUGUCGUCAGCUCGUGUUGUGAAAUGUUGGGUUAAGUCCCGCAACGAGCGCAACCCUUAUCCUUUGUUGCCAGCGAUUCGGUCGGGAACUCAAAGGAGACUGCCGGUGAUAAACCGGAGGAAGGUGGGGAUGACGUCAAGUCAUCAUGGCCCUUACGAGUAGGGCUACACACGUGCUACAAUGGCGCAUACAAAGAGAAGCGACCUCGCGAGAGCAAGCGGACCUCAUAAAGUGCGUCGUAGUCCGGAUCGGAGUCUGCAACUCGACUCCGUGAAGUCGGAAUCGCUAGUAAUCGUGGAUCAGAAUGCCACGGUGAAUACGUUCCCGGGCCUUGUACACACCGCCCGUCACACCAUGGGAGUGGGUUGCAAAAGAAGUAGGUAGCUUAACCUUCGGGAGGGCGCUUACCACUUUGUGAUUCAUGACUGGGGUGAAGUCGUAACAAGGUAACCAA
RNAcentral lists this ribosomal RNA (733 nucleotides) under uncultured endophytic bacterium. RNAcentral describes it as "bacterial SSU rRNA". It matches the Rfam family "Bacterial small subunit ribosomal RNA", at positions 770 to 1503 of the family's 1533-position model. The record is from RNAcentral.